GAUGAACGCUGGCGGCGUGCCUAAUACAUGCAAGUCGAGCGAACAGACGAGGAGCUUGCUCCUCUGACGUUAGCGGCGGACGGGUGAGUAACACGUGGAUAACCUACCUAUAAGACUGGGAUAACUUCGGGAAACCGGAGCUAAUACCGGAUAAUAUAUUGAACCGCAUGGUUCAAUAGUGAAAGACGGUUUUGCUGUCACUUAUAGAUGGAUCCGCGCUGCAUGAGCUAGUUGGUAAGGUAACGGGUUACCAAGGCAACGAUGCGUAGCCGAAGUGAGAGGGUGAUCGGCCACACUGGAGCUGAGACGCGGUCCAGACUCCUACGAGAGGCAGCAGUCGGGAAUCUGCCGCAAUGGGCGAAAGCCUGACGGAGCAACGCCGCGUGAGUGAUGAAGGUCUUCGGAUCGUAAAACUCUGUUACUAGGGAAGAACAACUGUGUAAGUAACUAUGCACGUCUUGACGGUACCUAAUCAGAAAGCCACGGCUAACUACGUG
Molecule: ribosomal RNA, 497 nt
Filed under: uncultured bacterium
Lineage: Bacteria
Description: partial 16S ribosomal RNA
Rfam family: Bacterial small subunit ribosomal RNA
Source: RNAcentral